GAGGGUAUAGCUUAGUGGUUAGAGCCCAUGCUUAGCAUACAGGAGGUCCUGGGUUCAAUCCUAGUAUCUCCA
RNAcentral lists this transfer RNA (72 nucleotides) under Camelus bactrianus (Bactrian camel). It matches the Rfam family "tRNA". Rfam says of the family: Transfer RNA (tRNA) molecules are approximately 80 nucleotides in length. The record is from Rfam by way of RNAcentral. Lineage: Eukaryota; Metazoa; Chordata; Mammalia; Artiodactyla; Camelidae. RNAcentral also lists the same sequence under 2 other names.